RNAcentral lists this ribosomal RNA (253 nucleotides) under uncultured bacterium. Its description in RNAcentral is "partial 16S ribosomal RNA". It matches the Rfam family "Bacterial small subunit ribosomal RNA", at positions 524 to 776 of the family's 1533-position model. The record is from RNAcentral.
UACAGAGGGUGCAAGCGUUGUUCGGAAUUAUUGGGCGUAAAGGGCGCGUAGGCGGUGCUGUAAGUCUGUAGUGAAAUCUCUGGGCUCAACUCAGAGUCUGCUAUAGAAACUGCAGCGCUAGAGUGUGGGAGAGGUGAGUGGAAUUCCUGGUGUAGCGGUGAAAUGCGCAGAUAUCAGGAGGAACACCAAUGGCGAAGGCAGCUCGCUGGGACGGUACUGACGCUGAGGCGCGAAAGCGUGGGGAGCAAACAGG